GAUGAAGAACGCAGCGAAAUGCGAUACUUGGUGUGAAUUGCAGAAUCCCGUGAACCAUCGAGUCUUUGAACGCAAGUUGCGCCCGAAGCCAUCAGGUUGAGGGCACGUCUGCCUGGGCGUCACAUAUCGUUGCCCAAUGCCUAUUGCAGUGCAAUAGGAAUUUCUAGGGCGAAUGAUGGCUUCCCGUAAGCGUUGUUGCCUCGCGGUUGGUUGAAAAUCGAGUCCUUGGUAGGGUGUGCCAUGGUAGAUGGUGGUCGAGUUAGAACGAUACCGAUCAUGUGCAUGCUCCCCAAAAUAUGGCCUCUAUGACCCACACGCGUCUUUUGACGCUCAUGACGAGACCUCAGGUCAGGCGGGGCUACCCGCUGAAUUUAAGCAUAUCAAUAAGCGGAGGA
RNAcentral lists this unclassified non-coding RNA (395 nucleotides) under soil metagenome. RNAcentral's name for it is "partial contains 5.8S ribosomal RNA, internal transcribed spacer 2, and large subunit ribosomal RNA". The stretch from base 1 to 122 matches the Rfam family "5.8S ribosomal RNA", at positions 35 to 154 of the family's 154-position model. The record is from RNAcentral.